UGGCCAAAAAGUUCAUUCGGGUUUUUCCAACAAUGUAAUGGAAAAACGUGAACGAACUUUUUGGCCAA
RNAcentral lists this microRNA precursor (68 nucleotides) under Tursiops truncatus (common bottlenose dolphin). RNAcentral describes it as "miRNA (ENSTTRG00000025222.1)". Lineage: Eukaryota; Metazoa; Chordata; Mammalia; Artiodactyla; Delphinidae. The record is from RNAcentral.